UACAGAGGUCCCGAGCGUUGUUCGGAUUCACUGGGCGUAAAGGGUGCGUAGGCGGUGAGGUAAGUCGGAUGUGAAAUCUCCGAGCUCAACUCGGAAAUGGCAUUGGAAACUACCUUGCUCGAGGGUUGGAGGGGGGACUGGAAUACUUGGUGUAGCAGUGAAAUGCGUAGAUAUCAAGUGGAACACCAGUGGCGAAGGCGAGUCCCUGGACAACUCCUGACACUGAGGCACGAAAGCUAGGGGAGCAAACAGG
Molecule: ribosomal RNA, 253 nt
Filed under: uncultured bacterium
Lineage: Bacteria
Description: partial 16S ribosomal RNA
Rfam family: Bacterial small subunit ribosomal RNA
Source: RNAcentral